Molecule: ribosomal RNA, 416 nt
Filed under: uncultured beta proteobacterium
Lineage: Bacteria; Pseudomonadati; Pseudomonadota; Betaproteobacteria
Description: bacterial SSU rRNA
Rfam family: Bacterial small subunit ribosomal RNA
Source: RNAcentral
GAGUUUGAUCAUGGCUCAGAUUGAACGCUGGCGGAAUGCUUUACACAUGCAAGUCGAGCGGCAGCGCGGGGCAACCCGGCGGCGAGCGGCGAACGGGUGAGUAAUGCAUCGGAACAUGUCCAUGUCGUGGGGGAUAGCCCGGCGAAAGCCGGAUUAAUACCGCAUACGCCCUGAGGGGGAAAGUGGGGGACCGCAAGGCCUCACGCGAUUGGGUUGGCCGAUGUCCGAUUAGCUAGUUGGCGGGGUAAGAGCCCACCAAGGCGAUGAUCGGUAGCUGGUCUGAGAGGAUGAUCAGCCACACUGGGACUGAGACACGGCCCAGACUCCUACGGGAGGCAGCAGUGGGGAAUUUUGGACAAUGGGGGCAACCCUGAUCCAGCCAUUCCGCGUGAGUGAAGAAGGCCUUCGGUUGUAAG